GGGAUAACACUUGGAAACAGGUGCUAAUACCGUAUAACACUAUUUUCCGCAUGGAAGAAAGUUGAAAGGCGCUUUUGCGUCACUGAUGGAUGGACCCGCGGUGCAUUAGCUAGUUGGUGAGGUAACGGCUCACCAAGGCCACGAUGCAUAGCCGACCUGAGAGGGUGAUCGGCCACACUGGGACUGAGACACGGCCCAGACUCCUACGGGAGGCGGCAGUAGGGAAUCUUCGGCAAUGGACGAAAGUCUGACCGAGCAACGCCGCGUGAGUGAAGAAGGUUUUCGGAUCGUAAAACUCUGUUGUUAGAGAAGAACAAGGAUGAGAGUAAAAUGUUCAUCCCUUGACGGUAUCUAACCAGAAAGCCACGGCUAACUACGUGCCAGCAGCCGCGGUAAUACGUAGGUGGCAAGCGUUGUCCGGAUUUAUUGGGCGUAAAGCGAGCGCAGGCGGUUUCUUAAGUCUGAUGUGAAAGCCCCCGGCUCAACCGGGGAGGGUCAUUGGAAACUGGGAGACUUGAGUGCAGAAGAGGAGAGUGGAAUUCCAUGUGUAGCGGUGAAAUGCGUAGAUAUAUGGAGGAACACCAGUGGCGAAGGCGGCUCUCUGGUCUGUAACUGACGCUGAGGCUCGAAAGCGUGGGGAGCGAACAGGAUUAGAUACCCUGGUAGUCCACGCCGUAAACGAUGAGUAAUAGGUGUUGGAGGGUUUCCGCCCUUCAGUGCUGCAGCA
Molecule: ribosomal RNA, 727 nt
Filed under: uncultured bacterium
Lineage: Bacteria
Description: bacterial SSU rRNA
Rfam family: Bacterial small subunit ribosomal RNA
Source: RNAcentral